Molecule: long non-coding RNA, 1304 nt
Filed under: Equus caballus (horse)
Lineage: Eukaryota; Metazoa; Chordata; Mammalia; Perissodactyla; Equidae
Description: lncRNA (ENSECAG00000055313.1)
Source: RNAcentral
UAAUUUUUGAAGCGAGUGUGGGGGCUGUCGGGCGCUCCGCCAUUUCCUCUUGCCCCUAAAGCUGUUAAACUAAAUUAUAGGCCUGGGCGAAUGAGAGGCCAGCUGUGCUUCAGCUGCGGGCCCCAGUUGUUGUGACAAAGUGAAAAGUGUGGGCACCAACAGAUCAUUAACUGCGGAGCCAAAAAUAAGCUGAUGAUGGAAUCACAUGCUCUAAGGGGACAGGAGAACGGGGCCCGUCUAACGCGAGUGCUGGUUCCGGCCCAGGAGGGGACUAAGCCUUACCAGCCAGAGAAGUGUGCUUGCCGUGUGCCAGCAUUUUAUGUAACACGGUUUACCAUACGGUCUCUUGAGUCCUUGUAACACAUCUUUGAGCUCACCUUGGAUUAGCUUGGCUCUGCAUCGAGUAUCUUCUCAUUCUUGGACCUAGGCUGAAGGAACAGUAUCCAUUUGGGACAAGCCAUCCUUGUAGAAGAAGAAAAAUGCAAGAAAGCUGGGGGAAACCCACAAUACUUCUGCACACAAUCAUCUCUGCUCUCAUUUCUUUAGUCCGAUAAAGCCAUGUGGCUGAGCCAUGCAGUGGCAUUGGGAGAUGUAUUCUGCUUACACAGAGGCACUGCAAGCCACAGAGCAACAGGCAGGAGGUUCCUCGAUGAAAAGAAGAACAACAAUCUCAGCCCAAGCAGAAGACACAGACUUGAAAUAUCACUUUCUUGGGAGAGCAGUCCCAUCCCAGUGUGACCAGCAUCAUGGAUCCAUCCAGCUUGGUUUAGAGAGAUGAUUAACAGGGAUAAGAGCACGAGAUACCCUUUGGUUCUCCUAAAGAUAUUUGCACUGCUCUCGAUUUAUAAGCUAUUCUUUCCUAAACAGUGUUGUGAGACUUUUGCAAUAAAAUGUAGCCCACCACUUUCCAAAUGUUUGAUCAAAGAAUUCUUCUUUUGAGGGGAGGAGGGUAAGAGAACUGCAUUAUUUGGGCUGCUAUGGAAUUCUGCUUUGGAGUCGUGCUCUUGGCAUACAGUAACAGAAGCUUAUAAAAGAGACUGAUGAACUUCACUUGUGUUUGUUGUACAAAUAUUAAGAAUAUGGUUCAUUUUUUAAAAAUCUCCUGUCCUUUUCAUGAGGAUGCAUGGGAGGAUUUUCCCUUCCUUAGUGCCAGAAAUAGUUGUGUUUUCCUUAGAAACUGUAUUAAUCUUACGGUCUCUUGUAACUAUAUGAUUGAUUGUCUUCCUAUGUGAAUUGGCUGACAGAAAGUUCUUUCCACAAGAAAUGUGUGAGUUCACAUGAAGCCAAGGUGGUCAAUGAACUUG